Molecule: ribosomal RNA, 609 nt
Filed under: human gut metagenome
Description: bacterial SSU rRNA
Rfam family: Bacterial small subunit ribosomal RNA
Source: RNAcentral
AUGCGUAGAUAUAUGGAAGAACACCAGUGGCGAAGGCGGCUAACUAGCUUGAAACUGACGCUCAGUCUCGAAAGCGUGGGUAGCAAAUAGGAUUAGAUACCCUAGUAGUCCACGCUGUAAACGAUGAGUACUAGGUGUUGGGUUUCAUAAGAAACUCAGUGCCGAAGUUAACACAAUAAGUACUCCGCCUGGGGAGUACGUUCGCAAGAAUGAAACUUAAAGGAAUUGACGGGGGCCCGCACAAGCAGUGGAGCAUGUGGUUUAAUUCGACGCUACGCGAAGAACCUUACCAGGACUUGACAUCUGAUUAAAGGCUCUAGAGAUAGAGAGAUAGUUAUAGUCAAGACAGGUGGUGCAUGGUUGUCGUCAGCUCGUGUCGUGAGAUGUUGGGUUAAGUCCCGCAACGAGCGCAACCCUUGUCCUUAGUUGCCAGCAGUAAGAUGGGAACUCUAAGGAGACCGCCGGUAUAAGCCGGAGGAAGAUGGGGAUGACGUCAAAUCAUCAUGCCCUUUAUGUCCUGGGCUACACACGUGCUACAAUGGCCGGUACAAAGAGAAGCAAGACCGCGAGGUGGAGCAAAUCUCAUAAAGCCGGUCUCAGUUCGGAUUG